AUGUCGCGCUGUCGUAACCUGGUACAAUUUCACUGGAAUAAAAUGACUCACAUGAAAUUUAAUACAAUAAAAUCCUUAAUUAUUUUAUUUAUAAAUCUUACCUAUGAAAGUCGGCUGGUACUGGCGCAGUGACGAAACUCGUCAUUGGCUUUUUACGAACCUGAUGUAUCUUGCGAGAAAGCUCGGCGCUCUUAACAAUCAACUCAGAACGCGUACAGAAUUUAAAGUUUAUCAAACAUAACAUACCACUUCUUGAACGAGGCUGAUCAAUUCCAUGAGUCGUCUAUUCAAUUGACCUACUUCCGCU
Long non-coding RNA from Wasmannia auropunctata (little fire ant), 307 nucleotides. RefSeq lists it as uncharacterized. The transcript has 3 exons. The record is from RefSeq and is a predicted model, not a curated record. NCBI's taxonomy places the organism in Eukaryota, Metazoa, Arthropoda, Insecta, Hymenoptera, Formicidae.